Camelina sativa (false flax) is the source of this 337-nucleotide long non-coding RNA. RefSeq lists it as uncharacterized. Lineage: Eukaryota; Viridiplantae; Streptophyta; Magnoliopsida; Brassicales; Brassicaceae. The record is from RefSeq and is a predicted model, not a curated record.
UUGCAGCGUUACUUGGUUGCCAUCGAGUAUAUCAGAACUCGUUUCUCCGGUUCACAACAACAACCUACUGACCGCACCGUCGUCGGUGUAUUGCAGGAGGCUUUUCAUAAGUUCAUUGGUCAGCCAGUUAACAUCUUCUGCUCAAGUCGAACGGGGAAGACCAAUGUAGCCGACGCCGCGAUCUAUGCCACUUGCUGUCAUCUCUGAGCACAAAUCCAGAGCUUUCUCCAUAUUGUAUUCUUUACAAACCCCAUGAAUCAAUGAAUUGUAAGUCACAUAGGUUGGGAAAAUUCUCUCAUUCUUCAUCCUCUAAAAAGUAAUUUACAAUUUUUACAUU